GUUUCAUGGGGCCCCUGCCAGGCCCUGCGGCCUCUGCAGCCUGGCCCAAGGCACCAUGUCCCUGAAAUGCAGGGAAGGAGUGUCUCCUCAGCCCCCGGCCUGCCUGCCUCAGCCUGCAGGGUGUGGUUAAUCGGGAGAGGCUGCCAGCACCCCUGUCCUGGCCCUGGUGGGCUGGGGAAGUUGGGGCAGACAAGAGAACAGAAGCUGGUUCUCUCUUUUCCUGCUUCCCCCCAGGACCGUCUGCACUGGGACCAGAAAGACACUUUAAUUCACAGGUUCUGA
RNAcentral lists this long non-coding RNA (282 nucleotides) under Callithrix jacchus (white-tufted-ear marmoset). Its description in RNAcentral is "lncRNA (ENSCJAG00000082237.1)". Lineage: Eukaryota; Metazoa; Chordata; Mammalia; Primates; Cebidae. The record is from RNAcentral.